AAUAGAUACCCUGGUAGUCCACGCCGUAAACCGAUGAGUGCUAGGUGUUGGGGGGUUCCACCCUCGAGUGGCUGAAGUUAACACAUUAAGCACUCCGCCUGGGGAGUACGACCGCAAGGUUGAAACUCAAAGGAAUUGACGGGGGCCCGCACAAGCAGUGGAGCAUGUGGUUUAAUUCGAAGCAACGCGAAGAACCUUACCAGGUCUUGACAUCCUUUGACCACUCUAGAGAUAGAGCUUUCCCCUUCGGGGGACAAAGUGACAGGUGGUGCAUGGUUGUCGUCAGCUCGUGUCGUGAGAUGUUGGGUUAAGUCCCGCAACGAGCGCAACCCUUGACCUUAGUUGCCAGCAUUCAGUUGGGCACUCUAAGGUGACUGCCGGUGACAAACCGGAGGAAGGUGGGGAUGACGUCAAAUCAUCAUGCCCCUUAUGACCUGGGCUACACACGUGCUACAAUGGAUGAUACAAAGGGUUGCGAAGCCGCGAGGCCAAGCCAAUCCCAAAAAGUCAUUCUCAGUUCGGAUUGUAGGCUGCAACUCG
RNAcentral lists this ribosomal RNA (540 nucleotides) under uncultured bacterium. RNAcentral describes it as "bacterial SSU rRNA". It matches the Rfam family "Bacterial small subunit ribosomal RNA", at positions 777 to 1314 of the family's 1533-position model. The record is from RNAcentral.